UACAGAGGGCUCAAGCGUUGUUCGGAUUCAUUGGGCGUAAAGGGUGCGUAGGCGGCGCGGUAAGUCGGGUGUGAAAUCUCGGAGCUUAACUCCGAAACUGCAUUCGAUACUGCCGUGCUUGGGGACUGGAGAGGAGACUGGAAUUUACGGUGUAGCGGUGAAAUGCGUAGAUAUCGGGAGGAACACCAGUGGCGAAGGCGAGUCCCUGGACAAUUCCUGACGCUGAGGCACGAAAGCUAGGGGAGCAAACAGG
RNAcentral lists this ribosomal RNA (253 nucleotides) under uncultured bacterium. RNAcentral's name for it is "partial 16S ribosomal RNA". It matches the Rfam family "Bacterial small subunit ribosomal RNA", at positions 524 to 776 of the family's 1533-position model. The record is from RNAcentral.